RNAcentral lists this ribosomal RNA (466 nucleotides) under uncultured bacterium. RNAcentral describes it as "partial 16S ribosomal RNA". It matches the Rfam family "Bacterial small subunit ribosomal RNA", at positions 28 to 506 of the family's 1533-position model. The record is from RNAcentral.
GACGAACGCUGGCGGCGUGCUUAACACAUGCAAGUCGAACGGAAAGGCCCUGCUUUUGUGGGGUGCUCGAGUGGCGAACGGGUGAGUAACACGUGAGUAACCUGCCCUUGACUUUGGGAUAACUUCAGGAAACUGGGGCUAAUACCGGAUAGGAGCUCCUGCUGCAUGGUGGGGGUUGGAAAGUUUCGGCGGUUGGGGAUGGACUCGCGGCUUAUCAGCUUGUUGGUGGGGUAGUGGCUUACCAAGGCUUUGACGGGUAGCCGGCCUGAGAGGGUGACCGGCCACAUUGGGACUGAGAUACGGCCCAGACUCUACGGGAGGCAGCAGUGGGGAAUAUUGCACAAUGGGCGGAAGCCUGAUGCAGCAACGCCGCGUGCGGGAUGACGGCCUUCGGGUUGUAAACCGCUUUCGCCUGUGACGAAGCGUGAGUGACGGUAAUGGGUAAAGAAGCACCGGCUAACUACGU